Oncorhynchus tshawytscha (Chinook salmon) is the source of this 1670-nucleotide long non-coding RNA. Lineage: Eukaryota; Metazoa; Chordata; Actinopteri; Salmoniformes; Salmonidae. The record is from Ensembl.
UUUAAUAGGACAGAGUCUGCAGACUGAAGACACAGCUGUCUAUUACUGUUCGCAUUACCAAAGUGAAACAAACAAGCCCAAAACUUUUCCAAAAAUCCCAACAGCCAUGAGUAGAAAACAAACUUAAUCAUAUUGUAUUUCCCCGACCAGAAAUACUGGUGUACCAUUGAUAGACGUCUACAUAGUAAAUCAAGUGUGAAAAUAGACCAAAGCAAUUCUCAAAUCAUUCCUCUGUACAUUUCACUCUACAUGAUGUGUUGUAUCUUAUUUGCUCUAUAAGAGGUGUCAAUAAUCAAGAAAAUUCAGAGUUCAUACUAGCUAGCUAUAGUUAACCAUCGUUAUUUCACUGAAAAUAUCAGCAGCAAGUCAUUACAUUCUGAUACUGAUUCGGUGUAUAACUUGUCACAAAGAUACAAGUUUAUUUUGUCCUUUUAUAACUCUUUCACUCUAUGCAAAGCAACUCUCCUCUCUUGUGUAUAAAGAGGAAUAUCUCACUCUCUUUCACUGAGUUCAGAAGUGCAGUUACCAUCAGUUCAGCUUCAACACAAACCAUGUUCCCUGUAUCUCUGCUGUUGGUGCUGGCAGCUGUAUCCUGUGUGUUCUUCAGACUGAACUCACACAGCCAGGCUCUAUGAUCCUGCAGCCUGGACAGCCUCUGACCCUCACCUGUAAAGUCUCUGGGUAUUCUUUUACCAGUACCAGUUACUGUACAGGUGUGAAUCACCAACCUAAAGGAAAAUCAUUAGAGUGGAUUGGAUUUAUUUGUCAAGAUGGUAGACAUAUUACAGUGAUAAACUGAAAAACAAGUUCAGUAUCUCCAGAGACACUUCAAGCAGCACAAUGACUUUAACAGGACAGAGUCUGCAGACUGAAGACACAGCUCUGUAUUAUUGUGCUCGCCAUCCAUACUGAUACAAACCAACACAGAACCGGUACAAAAACUCCAUGACAUUCAUAUGAAUAUAAAGGUAUACAAACACUAAACAUGACACCACAAUACAAACUUAUAUAACAAUUCAAACACAUGUACAUUAUACACAAUUACUGUAUUACUACAAUUUCUUAGCAGUUAUACUCCAUCCAUCAAAUCUGCUCAAAGUAUUAGUGUCACGCUCCCUUCUUCAUUUGUUUGGUGUAUUCUAACUUUAUGUACAGAGAAUUCAGAUGAACUAAUCAUCCCUUCUUUAAGGAUCUCUAUUGAAAAGCUUUCCACAAUUUCAUUCAAUAAAGAUAUCAGGUCACACAGAAACAGCAUAUUUUCCAUAAUUUGGUCAAACCGUAUGAGAAGUAACUAUUCAUGCAUCCAUUCCAUAGUCUAAGAGUUUAUGUUGGAUAAUCUAUUCUGUUUCACACUGGCCCUGCUCUGCUUAUCUCAGUUGUGUCUGUUUCUCUCACACACCCCACCCAUCUCUCUUCCCCCCUGUGACCCUCACAGCUGUGUGUCACCACGCUUUGUUGAACUCCAGCCUGUCACCUGGGUGUUUCUGGGUCCCAGUUUAGCAUCUCUGAUGAUUCAGAUAGACAGUUCAAGCAGUUAAGUAGUCCAGGGACUGUCCCUAAACACUUUCAUGAUCUAAUUCUCACUACCUUGUUUCGGCUGAGGAGAAACUGCCUUUUUGCAUUAGCCAGCUGGUGGCUGGUAACCAUACAAUGUUUCAACCACAUGGACA